AACGCACCUUGCGCCCCUUGGCAUUCCGAGGGGCACGCCUGUUUGAGUGUCGUGAACUCCUCCACCCUCCACCUUUUUCGAAAGGCGUUGGGCUGGGAUUUGGGAGCUUGCGGGUCCCUGGCCGAUCCGCUCUCCUUGAAUACAUUAGCGAAGCCCUUGCGGCCUUGGUGUGAUAGUCAUCUACGCCUCGGUUUAGCGAACAUACGGGAAUCGCUUCCAACCGUCUCGCAAGAGACAAUCACUUCAAACUUGACCUCAAAUCAGGCGGGACUACCCGCUGAACUUAA
This 287-nucleotide unclassified non-coding RNA is filed under the name uncultured Peniophora. RNAcentral describes it as "sequence contains ITS2". The stretch from base 1 to 52 matches the Rfam family "5.8S ribosomal RNA", at positions 103 to 154 of the family's 154-position model. The record is from RNAcentral. Lineage: Eukaryota; Fungi; Basidiomycota; Agaricomycetes; Russulales; Lachnocladiaceae.